Capra hircus (goat) is the source of this 929-nucleotide long non-coding RNA. RefSeq lists it as uncharacterized. NCBI's taxonomy places the organism in Eukaryota, Metazoa, Chordata, Mammalia, Artiodactyla, Bovidae. The record is from RefSeq and is a predicted model, not a curated record. The transcript is spliced from 3 exons.
UGGAGCAUGAAGGGCCAGCGAUCUCAGAAUGAGUGAUUGCCAAAUGCGCCUGCGGGCUCCUCAAAGCUCCCAGGACCUCUCAGGGAAAAUGGGGAAAGUUUCCCAGGGCUCGGUCCUCUUCAGACUUUAGGACUUCUCUAACUAAGUAACCUAAAAUUAACUGACAGCCUUCGACUUAACAUGCAAACAGCCCACCUGAGAACUAAGUCAACAUGGAGUAAACUGAUCUGGAAGAUACUACGAGCUGGAGAGGCAGAGAUCUGAUAACAUCAGGCCCUGGAUCCAGCCAUUCCUGAAGCUAACCCUCCUCUGGAUAUUACUGCUGUGUGAGCCCGUGAAUCUGGUUGGAGAGGAGCAUGAGAGGUUUACUGGAAGAGUUGAUGUUUAUCAUAGCCUUGCUGGAGGGUGACCCAGUCAGGAUGGACUGUGCUGGGCUGCAGUGACAACCCCCUUCUGGAUGCUACUGAUUUUCCCCAUUGCUCACAGCUGGACAUUACACGUCAAGGAUGCUCUCAGAGGACUGGGAAAAUGUUCAGAGGUCCACAGAUAUGAUCCUUCUACUUGGGCUCCCGAAACAAGCAGAAAGAUCCCUUCCCCUCCCCAUGAAAUCCAAGCAGGGCUGCAGAAAGAAGGGAGAGUUCAGGAAGAAACACUUGCCUUUGCUCACUUAUUUGACCACUGCUUACUGGCUUUCUGAAUGAAUCGGGUACUUUGAAAGAUGCCAGGAGAGAUGGGAGGAGAUGAUGAUGGUGUUGAUGAUGAUGGCUAACAUUCUAUCAAGGACUUUGUACAUGCCAGGCAUUGUUCUAGGAUGUUUCACAGGUUCUUAUCUGACUUUCCUAGUGGCUCAGAUGGUAAAGCAUCUGCCUACAUUGCAGGAGACCUGGGUUCGAUCCCUAGGUUAGGAAGAUCCCCUGAAGAAGGAAAUA